UCCAACUUAUCGCUGGCGGUCUCCUGAGAGUGCUUCCUUACGGAGUGGCAACACAGGACAAGGGUUGCGCUCGUUGCGGGACUUAACCCAACAUCUCACGACACGAGCUGACGACAGCCAUGCAGCACCUCGACUAGACCCCCUUGCGGAGUAACCGUGUUUCCACGGCGGUCAUCCACAUGUCAAGCCCAGGUAAGGUUCUUCGCGUUGCGUCGAAUUAAACCACAUGCUCCGCUGCUUGUGCGGGUCCCCGUCAAUUCCUUUGAGUUUUAGCCUUGCGGCCGUACUCCCCAGGCGGGGCACUUAAUGCGUUAGCUUCGGCACGGGAGGAGUCGACACCUCCCACACCUAGUGCCCAUCGUUUACGGCGUGGACUAC
Molecule: unclassified non-coding RNA, 378 nt
Filed under: uncultured Actinomycetes bacterium
Lineage: Bacteria; Bacillati; Actinomycetota; Actinomycetes
Description: uncultured actinobacterium contains 16S-23S intergenic spacer region
Source: RNAcentral